CGGACGGGUGAGUAUCGCGUAGGGAUUUGUCGUUGGGUGGGGGAGUAACCUUGGGAAACUGGGGCUAAUACCGCAUGACGCCUGUGGGCCAAAGGCAGAGAUGUCGCCUGAUGAGGAGCCUGCGUCCGAUUAGCUAGUUGGUGGGGUAAAGGCUUACCAAGGCUGCGAUCGGUAGCUGGUCUGAGAGGAUGAUCAGCCACACUGGGACUGAGACACGGCCCAG
This 223-nucleotide ribosomal RNA is filed under the name uncultured bacterium. Its description in RNAcentral is "partial 16S ribosomal RNA". It matches the Rfam family "Bacterial small subunit ribosomal RNA", at positions 99 to 334 of the family's 1533-position model. The record is from RNAcentral.